UUGGAGGGCAAGUCUGGUGCCAGCAGCCGCGGUAAUUCCAGCUCCAAUAGCGUAUAUUAAAGUUGUUGCAGUUAAAAAGCUCGUAGUUGAAUUUCGAGAUCAAUUUGUCGGUCGUGCCUCGGUACGUACUGGCAUUAUUGAUUUCUCCCUUCUGAAGAACCGCGAUGUCAUUAAUUUGGUGUCGUGGGGAAUCAGGACUGUUACUUUGAAAAAAUUAGAGUGUUUAAAGCAGGCGCACGCUUGAAUACAUUAGCAUGGAAUAAUGAAAUAGGACGUUUGAUUCUAUUUUGUUGGUUUCUAGGAUUGACGUAAUGAUUAAUAGGGAUAGUUGGGGGCAUUAGUAUUCAAUUGUCAGAGGUGAAAUUCUUGGAUUUAUUGAAGACUAACUACUGCGAAAGCAUUUGCCAAGGAUGUUUUCAUUAAUCAAGAACGAAAGUUAGGGGAUCGAAGACGAUCAGAUACCGUCGUAGUCUUAACCAUAAACUAUGCCGACUAGGGAUCGGAUGAUGUUAAUUUUUUAAUGUCUCAUUCGGCGCCUUACGGGAAACCAAAGUGUUUGGGUUC
RNAcentral lists this ribosomal RNA (564 nucleotides) under uncultured Glomeromycotina. RNAcentral's name for it is "SSU rRNA". It matches the Rfam family "Eukaryotic small subunit ribosomal RNA", at positions 548 to 1114 of the family's 1831-position model. Lineage: Eukaryota; Fungi; Glomeromycota. The record is from RNAcentral.